CCCUUAGAUGUUCUGGGCCGCACGCGCGCUACACUGACGGAGGCAGCGAGCAUGUCCUUCGCCGAGAGGUGUGGGGAAUCUUGUGAGUCUCCGUCGUGCUGGGGAUAGAUGGUUGCAAUUGUCGAUCUUGAACGAGGAAUUCCUAGUAAGCGCGAGUCAUCAGCUCGCGUUGAUUACGUCCCUGCCCUUUGUACACACCGCCCGUCGCUACUACCGAUUGAAUGGUUUAGUGAGGACUCCUGAUUGGCGCCGCCGCCCCGGCAACGGAGCAGCGGACUGCCGAAAAGUUGUUCAAACUUGAUCAUUUAGAGGAAGUAAAAGUCGUAACA
RNAcentral lists this ribosomal RNA (329 nucleotides) under uncultured eukaryote. RNAcentral describes it as "partial 18S ribosomal RNA". It matches the Rfam family "Eukaryotic small subunit ribosomal RNA", at positions 1470 to 1796 of the family's 1831-position model. The record is from RNAcentral.